This is a regulatory RNA element of Ramazzottius varieornatus, 114 nucleotides long. It matches the Rfam family "Potassium channel RNA editing signal". From Rfam's summary of the family: This family represents a group of sequences related to the human potassium channel Kv1.1 hairpin element which directs the efficient modification of an adenosine to inosine by an adenosine deaminase acting on RNA (ADAR). The ADAR modification causes an isoleucine/valine recoding event which lies in the ion-conducting pore of the potassium channel. It is thought that this editing event targets the process of fast inactivation and allows a more rapid recovery from inactivation at negative potentials. The record is from Rfam. NCBI's taxonomy places the organism in Eukaryota, Metazoa, Tardigrada, Eutardigrada, Parachela, Ramazzottiidae.
GUUGGGUACGGUACAGUGGUACCAUUGGGCAUCCUCGGCAAACUCAUCGGUUGUACCUGUGCCGUCUCCGGUCUUCUAUUCAUCGCUCUUCCCGUACCGGUUAUUGUCUCCAAC